Hemicordylus capensis (graceful crag lizard) is the source of this 794-nucleotide long non-coding RNA. RefSeq lists it as uncharacterized. Lineage: Eukaryota; Metazoa; Chordata; Lepidosauria; Squamata; Cordylidae. The record is from RefSeq and is a predicted model, not a curated record. The transcript is spliced from 5 exons.
AUUAACUAUACCUUAUAUAAGCAAAAAAAAACAGUAUAUACCAUCACCAAGACCAAGAGGGAAAAGGCUGUGUUUCACUUCACUAUCAAGGAACUGAGCCAAUAUAAGUGCAAAGCUGUAAACCAGUGUAAUGACUUCAAAUACAGUCCUGCUUUCAACUUUACAUUAAGAGAACUGAGCCACAGUUCCGUCCUACACAUUGUGUUUUCUGUGAUGCUGCUGAUAGUGCUACCUGUGGCAAUUUCCUUGCUGAUCCUUUGGUGUAAAGCAAGGAAACGGAAGUCAACGAAGUUAACCGCUAGUUCUGCUCCAACCACUUCCCCAACUUCAGAAAACGAUACAACUUACGAUGAAAUUGCACUUGAAGACAGAGAUCAAGUCGAAUAUGCCAAAGUGAGAUUCAAUGCUAACAAUCAAGAAGACUUCAGGAAUGUUACCUUCGAAGAGGAUACGACAGAGGAUGCCACAGUGAAUUAUGCAGAAAUUGUCACCAGAAGAUAAGAGGGGGGAAAUGUUCAGGAUUUACAUGACAAGCAAGUUUUUUUCCCCUUAGAUUAUUUGGUUGCACCAACUUCCCUCCUCCCCCUUUGGUAUCCUGCACUUCCUCUUUUACAGGAAACUGGUUUACACUUACCCUCCAAGCCAUGAUUAAAUCAUGGCCUGCAAUUCUGGUUUGAAGGACAAAUGAUCUGGAUGCAACAAGCAGUGAUGAUUGAACACGAAGGGGAGGGCCACUGGAGUUAAGUAUGCAGCAGGCAGAAGGAAGUGCACAAGACUGCGACUUGCUCAUGUAA